This 465-nucleotide ribosomal RNA is filed under the name uncultured bacterium. RNAcentral describes it as "bacterial SSU rRNA". It matches the Rfam family "Bacterial small subunit ribosomal RNA", at positions 29 to 506 of the family's 1533-position model. The record is from RNAcentral.
GUGAACGCUGGCGGCGUGCUUAACACAUGCAAGUCGAACGGUAACAGGAAGUAGCUUGCUACUUUGCUGACGAGUGGCGCACGGGUGAGUAAACUAUAGUUAAUGUGCCUCGAAGACUGGGAUAGCCACUGGAAACGGUGAUUAAUACUAGAUACACCUCUUUAGCUCAAGCUAGAGAGGGAAACGUUUUUUCGCUUCGAGAUCAGUCUAUGUCCUAUCAGCUAGUUGGUGAGGUAAUGGCUCACCAAGGCUAUGACGGGUAUCUGGUUUGAGAGGAUGAUCAGACACACUGGAACUGAGACACGGUCCAGACUCCUACGGGAGGCAGCAGUGAGGAAUAUUGCACAAUGGAGGAAACUCUGAUGCAGCAACGCCGCGUGGAGGAUGACGCAUUUCGGUGUGUAAACUCCUUUUAUAUGUCAAGAAAAUGACGGUAGCAUAUGAAUAAGCACCGGCUAACUCCGU